GGCUCUCUGGGAUUGCUCAACUAGUAGAGUAUGAGACUCUUAAUCUCAGGGUCAUGGGUCCCAGCCCCACACUAAGCCA
Molecule: non-coding RNA, 79 nt
Organism: Podarcis lilfordi (Lilford's wall lizard)
Lineage: Eukaryota; Metazoa; Chordata; Lepidosauria; Squamata; Lacertidae
Source: the annotation of a GenBank genome assembly